This 32927-nucleotide long non-coding RNA is filed under the name Malus domestica (apple). Its description in RNAcentral is "long non-coding RNA (MDOM_LNC011686)". The record is from RNAcentral. Lineage: Eukaryota; Viridiplantae; Streptophyta; Magnoliopsida; Rosales; Rosaceae.
UUUCACAUAUGCUAAGAACUAAUGUUCCUGUAGGUUUUUCAUCACGAAUGACAUUUGCAAUCUACUUUUCGAUUUCAAACCUUAAUUAUUCAUUGUCCAUUAAGAAAUGACUAUAUUGCCCGGAAACUCUACUCAUAGUUUAUAAAUCUGCAAUUUUCAAAGCUUAAGCAUCUUAAGCAUCUUAAUUGGAUUCCCUACAAUUUGGUGGAGGUUGAAUGGAUUUUUCCUCCCAUUAUACCCUCGGAAAAUAUAAAUAAUCAUUGGAGACUGAGCAACACACACUCAUAAACAUAAUGCAUACAGAAGAAUAAAAUUGACAGAAAACAGAUCAAUGCACAGAGAGAUAGAGGCAUAAAGAGAGAACUUACAUCAGCUGUGCUCUCAAAUACAUAUGGUAAUCUGCAUACGAAGAAACAUAAUACUGAAACAGUUAUAAAUCAUCCUAUUCAAAUAAAUCAAACGAAAUGCAUAAAGAUUACCUUAGUUUCUGAUUCUAUGAUUAUGUAUUUGACUCCACCUCCACGUUGUUCUUUGGUUGUCUCUUUUACUGAAUUAAGUAAUCGACUGAAUUACUUAAUUCAACUGAAUUUAAUUAGAGAGAUGAAAGCUUCGGUAUAAAAUAAUAUUUUAUGCUCUACACGCAUAGCAAAUCAUCAGUAACCUCCAAGAACCUAAUUGUACGAUAAACACUCUAGCAUUAACUACCCAAGAAUUAUAAUCAUGCUUAUUGCCAAAAAUGAUAAACAUGUUUACCUUGACUUCAUUUUUAAUGGCAUAUGUAAUAUACUUUCCAUCUGCAUUAAAAUAACCUACUUCGUUCUCCUCGUUAAUCAAGUUGAAAGGUUCUGUUUAAAUCCCAUCCACAACAAAGUCCUUGUAAUCCUGCCAAAAGAUACCACCAAUCAAUGGCUAUCGCUUCCAUUGAUCCAAUUAGAAGAAGUAUCCAACAAUCUCCUCGACUGAAAAAAUUCUUGCCAAUUUAGAAAAGAACUAUUCCAAAUUACGGAUGUACUCGAUUAAUUUAACCAAGAAUAUGCACGGCACCACCACUAUUAAGAAGCAUCAACAUACAAAGACAAAAGUUUCUACAAUCAGUUGUUAAAUUGCAAUCAAAAACAUGCAUAGAAAGAAUAAAAAUGAGAACAAAGAUGGCAAAACAAUUAACCACACAUGUUGUUUAUCCAAAAAUGCUGAGAGCUUAUGCUUCUGUGACACAACGAGCUUCCUGCAUCACAUAUACUAGAUCAAGUAGGCGUCAUGACAUAAAUUGAAAAGCAGACAAGAUCAAGAAGAUCCAAAAUUAUUGAUAUAUAAUUAUAGUAAAUAAUUGCACAUCAAAAACUCUAGAGGAAGAUAGAUGAAUCUCCAUAUCAAGAAACCAAAGAACAUGACACUACUAAGGACCGUUGCUUCACAUGCAUAUCUGCUACUAUUUUAAAACAAUUAUGUUAGAACAAGUAUAAGAGAGAGGACAAAGUACUACUGAACCGAAAAUGAAAAGGGGGAAAACCUGGAAUGCCAUGCAGUGCCGAAAUCACUACUUAGCAACAAAAGUGCCCUGCUAUGCUUCAUGACGUCACUUUCAAAACUAUUAUCCAAAGAUAAUGACACAUACAAAGACUUCUCAUCCCCAGAUACAUCUGAUCUGCUGUUAAGUGCCUUAUAUUGUCUACUUGCUGCCAUAAACGCAUGCUUAGCAGCCUCAUACAACCGAAAAAGAACUUGCGUUGAAAUCCCCAACUUAUGAUCCCUAUUCCAAAAAACUGAGUUGCCAGCAGCUGAGCGCAGCACCGUUGUCAUCAGAUGAGGGUGAGGAAUGGCCUGCCUCUUUAUUCAGCUUGGAAAACUGGGACGGGUGAAGAAAUCCCACUUCAUCUUUGGGUUCAAUCAAGAGGAAAGAACAAUAUAUAAGACGACGGCAUUACUACAUAUUCCAAAAAUAUAACUGAGAACCCUUCCAAAAUUAAAAAAAAAAAGAGAGCACCUCUACACAAAAUCAUAAUGCACCCACAAUUACACACACACACCAAAUUCAAAAACUUAGCAUAAGAAUAAGGCAUACUUGGACCGUUAUCGAAAUCCCAGCCUCAGUAACAGUAAUGAACUAACACUGAAUCCACGUUUUGAAUUUGAACUAACACUGAAUGGACAUUUUCCAAAAAAAUAUGAAUCCAAGUAAAAUCAAGCUGUUACUUUUACAUAUGCAUGGAUCAACUCAUGCGGGAUCAAAUAUCUGUACUUUUCGACACGGAAAUUACACUUUGUGAAGGUUCACCAACCAAGCACGAAUAAAACCUAUAUAUACAAAACUCUAGUGGCAUUUCACCGAACACAAAGUCUGCGUCUUUACUGAAAACAGAGAAGCUAAACCUGCAAUCACUGAUUAUCUACUAACAUACAAGUACGAAUUACUUACAUUUGGGGAUCGGAUUCCAAGAUACGUUCGAAUUGAUUCAGAAGAUCGACCGUGUUUGCUUCGGAACGACGCAGCUCCUCUCCUUCCAUAUUUUCUGUUUGUUUCCCGAGAAAAUCCAAGGGAAAAAGAAAACCCUAGGGAAAAUGACAGCUUUAUACGAUGUUGGAACAAAAUGGUAAAUUAAUUUAAAAAAGAACUACGUGGAAGUUUUUUAUUCUUUGUUGCAAUAAGUUGCAGGAAAAAGUAAUGAUGCUGGCCGUAGAUGAUCCAGUUUUGGGCCAAUGUCACACUGACACGUAUCCACCUUCUUCGACUCUUCUUCUCUUGUGUAAAAUUUUGGAGCUGCUAUGGCUAUUCUCUCUCUACAAAUCUCUCUCUCUCUCUCUUCUGAGCAUCAAUCGCCGAAGGAUUUUCUCUCAUUUUCCCUCACUUUCUCUCCCGUUUUCUCUCUCGCCAAACACUCCAGUUCCUCAAGGAUCUGAGGUUUCUUCCACUUCAAAUCUCACCUUUUUUUUUUCUCUUCGAAUCGGGCAAAAAGGCAUUGAUUUGAAACGAAUAUUAUAAUAGAAAGGAAAGAGCUUUGGGGGGAUUCGAAUUUCCGAAUCUAGGGUUCCGUGAUCUGUAUAUGCGUCCGAUGACUAUGGGAAUCGUGGUGGAAGCGGCGUCGUUUGACGCCGAGCUGUUGCAGCUCAAUGAGGUGUCCCCUUUGGCCCUCAAAUCGAAUCCGAGCUCAAUGAGGCAUUGAUUUGUAAUUAGUUGUUGGAAAUGCUAAAGUUUAUAUAUAUAUAUUUUUUAAUUAGGAUACCUAUGAUUUACAUACUACAUAUUGUUUCAUCUUUUCGGAUGCAUGACAGUUUUUUUCAUUUUCCCGACUUUAUGGUUGCAGGUGACACAACUGCUAACUGAAGCAAAGGCAGGUAGGCCCCUGAAUGUUCAGGGAAAUUCUUCUAGUCCACAUGCCACUGCAGGCAGUACUUUGCCUUCUAUGUUUCCAGCAGGCAGUGCACCACCACUGUCACCAAGAAGUUCAUCUGGAUCCCCUCGCAUUAUGAAACAGAGGAUCGGUCCUUCUCAUUUAGGUUCUCCCCUGAAAGUAGUUAGCGAAUCAGUUAAAGAAGUGAUACCUAUUAAACUAAACAUGGUAAAUACCAAUAUUAAACUAAACAUGGUAAAUACAAAAAAUAUAUAUGAUAAUAUUUGGGAAUUUCUUAUAUAUUCAUUAAUCUUCAAAGUGGAGUAUAUAUAGGAGUUACAAUUGGUAUUACAUAUGUACUUCACCAAUGUGGGAACAAUAAACUGCUAUUUACACUUUAACUAAUGUAUAACUCGCAACACUCCCCCUCAAGUUGGUGCAAAGAUGUCACGCAUGCCCAACUUGUCAAGCGAGUCGGAAACGCACUAUUAGACACAGCCUUAGUAAGAGCAUCAGCAAGUUGAUCUUCAGAUCUCACAAACGGAAACAUAAUAAUUCCAGCAUCCAAUUUUUCCUUAAUGAAAUGUCGAUCAAUCUCCACAUGUUUUGUUCGAUCAUGUUGCACUGGAUUAUGAGCAAUCUCAAUAGCAGCCUUGUUAUCAUAAUGAAGUUUCAUAGCACCUUUGUGUUUAAACUCAAGAUCUCUCAACAAUUUUUCCAACCACAACAACUCACAUACACCAUGAGACAUACCACGAAACUCAGCUUCUGCACUUGACUUAGCCACCACUUUUUGUUUCUUGCUUAUCCAAGUAACUAAAUUACCACCCACAAACAUAAAGUAUCCAGAUGUAGAUCGCCGAUCAGUGAUAGAAUCUGCCCAAUUUGCAUCUAUAUACCCUUCGACAUUCAAAUGAUCAUUCUUGGAGAAAACCAGGCAUCUGCCAGGAGCCAUCUUCAAGUACCUCAAAAUACGGGUUACUGCAUCCAUAUGAGCUUCACUAGGUGAGUGCAUAAACUGACUUACCACACUAACUGCAUAAGCAAUGUCAGGGCGAGUGUGAGACAAAUAAAUUAAUCUCACCACAAGCCUUUGAUACCGUUCCUUAUGAGUAGGAACUUGAUCUGGAAAUAAGCCCAGACGAUGAUUCUGCUCAAUCGGAGUAUCAACAGGUUUGCAAUCUAACAUACAUGUUUCAGCUAACAAAUCAAGAACAUACUUCCUUCCAAGAAAAUACUUCAAUUCACCCAAUUCUUUCAUCUCAAACUCAGUAGCUAGGUACUUUUGAAGGUGCUGUAUCUCUUUCUGAUCAUCACCAGUCACUAUCAUGUCAUCAACAUAAAUAAUCAAUGCAGUUAGCUUACCAUUUUGUCGCUUUAGAAACAAAGUAUGAUCUGAAUGACUUUGGAUAUACCCAAACUUCUUCAUUAAACUUGUAAACCUCCCAAACCAUGCUCUAGGAGAUUGUUUCAAACCAUACAAGGCUUUUCGUAACCUGCAUACAACACCUUUUUCAGGAGACGUUCCAAUACCAGGUGGGAGAUCCAUAUACACUUACUCCUUAAGAUCACCUUGAAGGAAAGCAUUCUUAACAUCAAACUGCAACAGAGGCCAAUCCUGGUUUGCUACUAAGGACAGAAGAACACGCACAAUAUUAAGUUUGGCAACAGGAGCAAAGGUCUCCUGAUAGUCCACCCCAUAGGUUUGAGUAUAAUCCUUAGCAACUAAUCUGGCUUUAUACCGAUCAAUAGAAACAUCUACUUUGUGCUUAAUAGUAAACACCCAUCUACAUCCAAUGACUUUCUUCCCAUUUGGUAAUGGAACCAAAUCCUAAGUAGAAUUCUUUUUCAAAGCUUCCAUCUCAACUUUCAUGGCAUUAACCCACUUAGGGUCAGACAAAGCAUCUUGCAAUUUUGUUGGAAUUGAUACACUAGAUAGCUGACAUAUGUAAGAUGCAUAUGGUUGGGACAAACGAUGAGUAGACACAUAAUUGUUGAUAGGAUAUUUGGCUUUAACAUGCAUAUCAGGCUCAUAUUGUACUUUAGGUUUUCCACGAUUAGCUCGUGGAGGCAACUGAUAAGUAGAAGAAUCGUCAGAAUUUACCUCAUGUAUGCCACCAUCUUAUACCAAACUGUUAGAAGAAUCAUCACUGGACGAACCAUCAUCAGACAACUCGUUAGACAUAUCAGCAGCAGGCAACCGAUCAUCAGAAGGUAAUUCAUCAGACAUACUAACAGGCAAUUUGCUGGGCACAUCUGAUUUGUCGUUAGUAGAAAUAGUUCCGGGAAUGACAGGUGACCGAUCACUAUCUAUAACCGACUGAUUAGUAUCACGCAACAUAAUAGGUUAUGUUCCCAACUCUGUCUGUAACACAUCAUCCAUAUCAUCUCUUCGAAUCUGCACUUCACUCCUCCUCUCCCCCUGAAGUGGAAAGUCGGAAGAGGGCUUUACAAAAUACGAAACUUCCUCUUGGAAGGUGACAUCCAUGGUAAUAUAAGUUUUUUGAGUCGGAGGAUGAUAACACUUAUAGCCUUUUUGAUUGUUAGCAUACCCAAUAAAGACACACCGGAGAGCACAUGCAUCAAGUUUACUCCGCUGAUGAGAGUAGACAUGCACAUACACAAUACACCAAAACACUUUCGGAGGAAGCUUUGAGACAGAAACAAGAGAAACAUGUUUUUGUAGCACAUCAAACGGUGUCUGAAAAUCAAGAACCCUACUUGGAACACGAUUGAUCAAAUACACAGCAGCCAAAACAACAUGACCCCACAAAUGAUUAGGAACACAUUUAUCCAACAUCAAGGAGCGAGCAACCUCCAUUAUUUGACGAUUCUUCCGUUCGGACACACCAUUUUGUUGGGGUGUAAACGGAGUAGUUGUCUGGUGAAUCAUACCAUGAUCACGGAAAAAACAUGCCAAAAUGUGAUUCACAUAUUCUCCUCCGUUAUCAGACCUAAAGACCUUAACUUUGGUCUGAAACUGAGUAGACACCAUUGUACAAAAUUCUUGAAGAAGUAACGGAACAUCACUCUUAUUUUUCAUCAAGAACACCCAAGUUACCCGAGUACAAUCAUCAAUAAAAGUAACAAACCAACAGAAUCCAUUAGAAGUAACUUUCGCAGGACCCCACACAUCAGAAUAUAUCAAAUCAAAUGACAAAGUAGCUGUAGAAUCACUUACAUGAAAUGAAGCACAAUGACUCUUAGCCAUGACACAUGUUUCACACUUGAACUCUGAAUCACUACAAGUGCGAAACAAAGAAGGAAAUAGAUGCUUCAUAUAACUGAAUGAUGGAUGUCCUAAUCGUCGAUGCCAUAACCAAAUUUGAUGUCUGUCAUCCACUUUAGCUCUUAAACUUGAUGAUUAUUUGAACCGGAAACAACAGUAUCCUCCAUAGUCAAGAUGUACAAACCCCCUAUCCUUUUACCAUAACUAAUUAUCUUCUAAGUUUGAAUAUCUUGAAAAUAACAAUACGUAGGGUAGAAGUGAGCAGAACAAUAUAAAGUAUCAAGAAGUUUUCCUACCGACAAAAGAUUGUACUUAACAUCAGGAACAAGUAAAGCACGAACCAGUGAUAAGGUUGGAGUCAGAGAGAUAGUGUCUUCACCCUUCACAGGGGAAAGUGCUCCAUUUGCACUAGUAAUAUACGGAUCACGAACAUAGUCACAUAACUCAUCAAACACUCUAGGGUCACUAGUCACAUGAUCAGUGGCCUCAGUAUCAAUUAUCCAUUUAUUUGUUCCACCAAGAUGCAUAACAACACUAUGAUUAUAUUGAGCCAUUGAACAAAAUCACGAACAAUAAAAGCACAAAAGAUACGCAACGGAAUGAAAACAAUUUAUCAGAAUACUGUAGCAAUCACUGUUCACGGCACUGUAGCAAAGACUAUUCACGGCAAUGUAGCAAUCACUGUUCACGGCACUGUAGAAGACCACAGUUCACGCACUAUAGCAAAGCACUGUACUGUAGCCCGACACUUUUUUUUUUUUUUUCCCACACGGAGGAAAUCACGAAAAAUGUGGGCACAAAAUUAAAGCACACAGGUCACCAAGAGCGAACUGCUCUGAUGCCAUAUUAAACUAAACAUGGUAAAUACCAAAAAUAUAUAUGAUAAUAUUUGGGAAUUUCUUAUAUAUCCAUUAAUCUCCAAAGUGGAGUAUAUAUAGGAGUUACAAUUGGUAUUACAUACGUACUUCACCAAUGUGGGACAAUAAACUAUUAUUUACACUUUAACUAAUGUAUAACUCGCAACAAUACCUCAGGUUUGACAAAUCCUAAUCCUUUUCGGCAAUAAGAGUGGCACUAUUUUUUAUUUCUUUUGUUUUGCGUUGUAUUUGUCAUUUGAACUAUCUAGCUGUAAUGGUUUUCUUUAAUUAGAGGGAAAGGUAGGUUAUUAUUUCUAACUUGGAUUUUGUACCACUUGCAGUUUUACUUUCUAAAUGGUCGCCCGCCUCCAAAUGAACUAAAAGAUCAAUGCUUAUUAGAAUCAAUCAGUUUUUCUCUGGUAACUCAGACGGACUGCAGAUUCAUGGUGAGAUAUACUUAAGAUAUGAGUUUGUGUUGUACAACUAGAAUUAGCUUUUAACUGUCUCCUUGGUCGUACCCAGUGCACAAGGCUCCCGCUUUACGCAGGGUCUGGGAGAGGUGAAUGUCGGCUAGCCUUACCCCCAUUUAUGGAGAGGCUGCUCCCAAGUCUCGAACCCGAGACCUACCGCUCAUGGGCGAAGGCACUUGCCAUCGCACCAAGUGCGACCUCUAACUGUCUCCUUGGUGUAUCAGAAUUUAAAUCAGUUGCUAAGGAUAUAUGCAAGCGGCCCUCAUUCUUCUCCAUAUCUCUUUUCAGAAAAAUUGAUGCUAAGAGCAGUUCCAGCGUUGGCUGGUGCUCGGGGGAAAGGCUAGUGAACAGGGCCAGAUAGCCCGACUGAAGUGCUCCAGCGUGUGGGAACUCGAGGGACAGGGCAAGACUGAGCAACAAGCCCGUGAGGAAUUGCUAGCCCGCGAGCCCGAGUGGAUGUGACGCCAGGGCUGACGUCAUCCUGGCGUCAGCCCAAUUAUAUAUAUAUUUUUGUCAGGCGCGUGCCCCUCACCUGCACGUGGGGGCGCGUCAGCCAACACCUUUUCAGGAGCCGGGCCCACGUCACAAUUUGCCAAUGUUACUGUUGGAAAGACACGUGGCUUCCCACGGUCCGUUUGAUCUCAAUGGUCUAUUGGUAAUAUUCACUUUUUGUCAUUGCUUGUGAAAGGGUGUAGUUUCAAAGUUGUUAUCCCCACCCCCUUUCAAUAUCUUUCCUAGCUGUGGUUUAUCUUAUGUAACCACAACUAUUUUCCUUUACUUUUAAAAUGUCUCGAUUCUUGUUCACCAACCCUAUUACCCCACUUUAAGGUGCAUGAAUCUUUCUCUCUGAAGUGGAUAAACAAUGCCCUUUAUAAGGGUUGAUUGCGGAGAAGGGGUCAAGUAGCUUUCCUGGAGGCGCUUUUUUUUUCUGAGCUGACUUGUAGUGAACUCUUGGUUUAACUAAUAUUGUUACCUCACCUUACUAUAAAUUCUGGGUGGCCCCUGCUCUAGUCAUCCGGACAAGAAAACGGUACAGCUUGAGGAGAAGCUUGAGAUAGAUAUCAUCGGACUUGGGGCGCUUCGUCUUCUUGCUUUUACCUCCUGCCACGAGAACAAUCUUCAUUGUUGUUGCUGGUGUUGAAGUUCGGUUGCUCGGGACGCCUUUCGUUGGGCCUUUAUUUGGCCAAUUCAUUGAUCAAAUAUGGGAUCCUGUACUGCCAUAUGGUUGAGCCAACGAUGAAAACAGUAGGAGAAAAAGAGUGAACCCUCCCCCCCCCCAAAAAAAAAAAGUCUUGUACCCAUGAGAAAGGCUUGUAAUGGUACCAUCAUUGUUGGCAACAAUUUUUGCUGGUGGUGGUUACGACAAGGAAGUUGGGAACAAUGAUGUGGCUGAGGGCUUUGCAGAUCUUAUUGCUUAUGGUCCUUGGAUCUUGGCUAACCCAAACUUUUUUACUUUAUGUUUAUUCAGCUUUAAUUCUGAGGGUAUUUAAGUCUAUUUAAGUGGAUUUUCUGUUAUUUUUGAAAGAUUUUAUAAAAAAUGACAUUUAUGAAAUUGAGUGUUAAAUUUUGGCUAUUAUUGAUAAAAACUCAAUAAAAAUUAUCCCGUAAGUAUACAAGAUUAAGUUUAAGACGUCUUAAUAAUCAGAAGAUGCCUUUAUACAUUAUCCUUUCAUCAAUCAUGUUACAUGACAAAAAAAUGAGGUGUUGACUUAUAAGAACUAGCUAAAGGUAGCAUAUUCCUUUCUUUCUUUGUGGUUUCAACCUAUCCUUGCCCUCCUUACUAAAUCAUGUAACACAAAUGCUAUUCACACAUCCCAUUUUAUUUCUCACACAAAUCUUGAUAAUUUAUGUCUGUUGAUCUUCUUCAAUUCAUUUAAUCUGAUGGUCGAAAAUUAAAAGAGUAUGUAGGAAGUAAAAUGGAAUGUGUGGAUAUCACACCCCUAAAUUAAUUGCGACAAAAUAGAUUUUCAAAUACUUUUAUACAUUUGAGUUUGAGCUCUAUUUUUAUCAAUUACUUUAAUAAGUUGGCGACUACAUGAUGGGAGGAGGCAUGCGUUGAUGCUUAUAGUUGGCGACUACAUGAGAAGAAGAGGGAUUCUCUGAACAUAUUAAAAACCUUAAAUGCAUUAAUAAGUUAAAUUAAACCACCACAGAAACAAGAAAGUUCAAAAAGAGAGAGCAUAUUAUAAACAGAUCAAGGCAUGCAAAAAAAUACACUCUAUCUGCAAACUAGCUGAUUAAACCAGAAAGUUUCCUAGCUUACAUAGUCGUCGUCGUCUUGGGCCUCCUCAUCAUCACCCUCUUCAUUAUCAUCCGCAACUUCUUGGUCCUGAUCAUCGUCUUAUUCCGCCUCGUCCUCAUCAACACCCUCAUCAUUAGCAUCAGCACAUUGUUGGUCCUCAUCAUCGUCUUGUUCCUCUUCCUCCUCAAAAUCCUCCUCAUCAUCCCCAUCAAAAUCCUCAUCGUGUUGUCAUCAUCCUCAUCAAAAUCAUCAUCUUCAUAAUCCUCGUCAAAAUCAUCGACUUCGGUAGAAAUUUCUUGUAAGGCCCGUUCGUAAGGGAUAUAAUGGUAAUCAAAAAACGAACCUUUGAAAGUCAUAAGUUUGUCGCAUACUAAACGUACCCCUAUUUUCUUCACCGGACAAUGUGCAAUAACAUGGACCAAAUCGCUUUCUUCCAAAUUGAACUCGAUUUCCGACAACGAUAAAUUUGCCAGCCAAAUGAUCUCUUCAAAGAAAAAAAAUCUCCUAGUUCAACACAAAAACUAGUACCCUUGGUGUGAUUAAUAACAUAAAUAUAACUCGGCCUGAUGUAAUCACGAGGAACAAAAGCCAGGCACACAGCCAAUGCUUUUGCAUUAGAACCAAUUUCCUUAGGCACUUCAAAAGAGACUUGGGUACCCUCGUUUACAUGAUUGAACCAAGUGGGAAUUUGUCUUCCUACAAAACUCAUGGUUCCACCUCCUGUCCAUCCCUAUACCAUGUGGAACAAGAUUUGUGUGAGUACUACAUACAUAACACACAUAUUUGUGAGGGGGGAAGAGAGGGGGGUGGUGUGGAAGAGAGAGAGUACCUGUAUCGUGCUAUCCUUAAGAAGGAAAUCCAUGACAUUGUUGUGUGUUGUCAUAUAAAGAUUGAGUCCCGAGUUUAACGCGCUAUCCAAGCCUGGAAACUCAAUGAGUUUCGGGGAAAAAAGAAUCACUGCUGUCGACAUGCCUGAAAAAUCUGGCAUUCUUUCUAAUACAGAGCAGUCGUCCAUGUGCAGGAAACCCAAACUUUUUGGUAAAUCUGUAAUCUCAACAAGGUUUCUGCAACCAUUCAAGGAUAAUACAAGAAGCUUGGAGAGGCCACUGAGGCUUGGAAGGCUCCCAAAAUUAUUGUCAUCUAGACUUAACUCCACUAAACAAGGUAGACUACUCCCAAUAUCAUUAGGCACUUCCUCUAUAUUGCUGUCCUCCAAAAUUAAGCUUGUCAAAGAGCGUAAACCUUGUAAGGAAGGUAGCUGCAAAGAACACUUCAAUUUACUCAAAGAUAUGCGCUCGAGCUUCUCUAGUCGUACGAUGGAAGGUGGUACUUUUUUUAUGGCCGUCCCAUCUGCAUAAAGAGUGACCAAUGAUGCCAUUUCUCCCAAGUGCUCAGACAAGCUUUGGAAUCUUGAACAACCAUCGAGAACAAGAGUUUUGACAGAUUUCAACUUGUAGAAACUCCUCGGAAGAGCCUUAAGCGUUUCACAGUCCUUCAAAUUCACCAACACAAGACUCUUGAGAUCUCCGAUGGACUUGUGAACUUUAGCCAACCUCUUACAGUCUUUGAGUAUCAAUUUCUCAAGAUUUGGGAAUUUCGAAAAGUUUGGCGAUUGUGUUAGAUCGUGGGAGUGGCUGAGAUUCAGAAUCUUCAACUUAUCAAGCAACUGUUAAGAAAAAUCAAGUUGAAAUAAAAAAUUUAAAUCCAAAAAGAAGAUACAAAAAACAUAAAAAUAAUUCCAAAUUUGGUUCAGGUUACGCAUUGUACUUACCCCAGAAUACCCACAAAGAACUUGUCUGAGGCUGCUGUACUGCAUGUCGAUAACAACUGUGUUUGGUUGACAAAGUUCUAUUGGUAUGAACUCCAAUGGGAAUCCAUGCCAGCACAACCAUCUUAAUUUUUUGGAAAGAUAUUGGUAUUGCCCAGUGAGCCGAACGUAGUUUAGUUGGAGCAAUCUCAGUCUCUUCAUAUUUCUAAACGCCUCAGUACUGAAACUAGUCUCUUCAGGACUUGGCAAAUUCAAAGCCAGACCUUCAAUUUUUUCAGUUCCCUGCUAUCCGAAAAAACAGACUCCAAAUAAGAGAAGGCUUUGCAUGAAAAAAAGUAUAUUACUAACUUACAUAUGCUUACACAUUUAACAUAAAGUUUGAUUGGGAAAGUACUUACAAAUUUGUCUAUCAAUACAUCAUUUACAUCUUCAGGAUGCCACAAUCUACUCCGUUCUAUAGGGAAAUCAGGAUUUUCUGCAUGCACGAUAUCUCUGCCCAUAUCCCGAAGCAAAUCAUGCAUCAUAAUCUUGUUUUCUCUAUUAAUAGUUACAAGGCACCGGUCAAGGAGGACCUUGAUUCCUGUUGUUGCAUAAAAGCCACAACCAUCCAAGAUUUGUAUGACAUCGUUCUUGUUCAUUCCGAUAAAAAAACAAGCUAUAUCGAGGAAUAUCCGCCUUUUGUAAUUAUCAUUUAGCCUGUUGUAGCUUAUUUUCAGUUGUGCCUGAAUUUCUGCACGAGGAAUUAUUUUCAAUUCAUCCAAUAUACUUCUCCAUUCAUCUACGCUUCGUUUGAAAAGAGUAGAUCCUAAAACUUCAAGAGCCAGCGGCAAUCCUCCACAGUAAUUGACAACUUCUCUUUCGAGCGCAAGAUAUUGACUAGGACAACUACUACUUCUGAAAGCAUGCCAACUUAGGAGCUCAAGAGCUUCUUCUCGGUCCAUUACUUUCGCCUGAUAUAUCUUAUCAACUGCAAAUUCUUUUAGCACACUUUCGUUUCUAGUUGUGAUGAUGAUUCUGCUCCCCGGGCCAAAAAAGUGGCAAUUUCCAACUAAUUCGCGUAAUUGCUUCACAUCGUCUACAUCAUCAACUAUGACAAGUACCUUUAAGCGUCGAAAUCUUUCCCUUACCAAGGCGGUCCCUGCAGCAACACUACUUACCUUUGUCUUGGUUUGCAAGAUAUCAAAAAGAAGUUGUUUUUGCAAUUUUUCUAGUUUCUUUUCCCUCACUUUUUCAAGGAAACUUUUACCUUCAAACCUUUCAUAAAAUUCGUUAUAAAUGGCUUUAGCAAUUGUUGUUUUACCUAUUCCACCCAUGCCUGAAAUUCCAAUCACACGAACAUCAUCUGAAUCUCCGAUGCCUAAAUAAUUACUGAUAUCUAGCACUCGAGUAUCUAUUCCGACUUGAUAGAGCGCUACGUCAAAGUAUUUGUUGUUCAACUUCGUAGUGACGUCAUUGGUAAUCAUCCUGAUAAACUUUGCUUCAUGCCUGGCAUUAGUCAAGUUGAGAAGCAAAACGAAGAUUGUUAUACAACGAAAUCGAACUAAUUAAUACACAAAAUUAUUUAUCAUGACUAGAGAUUUUAAUUAAGACAAUUUUUUUUGAGGUGGUGUGUUUAAACUUAGCAAACAUCAAUUAAAAUUAAAAUAAAGAAACACAAACAAAAAAACCAGCAUCCCUUCCCUCCGCAGCCAAUCGCCGGCAGCUUCCCAGCUGUGAUUAGUGUAGCCUUAACAGUUUAAGCUUUAUUGUAUGAUUUUAUUACAGAGGUCUAAGAAAUCGUAUGAUUCCAAAUUAAUAAGCAAAGGUACGUUAAAGCCUUAAUUCAUAAGAAAAGAAAUUAGAAAGUACCCGUCUAAAGUGUUUCUGAGAUCCCAGCCAGACAAAUUCGAAGCUUCAGUAAGAGCAGCUCUCCACCUCUCUACCUUUUUUCAUCUGUAUGUUUCAGAAACGAUUGUGCAAAACUACAAGUCUGUUUCCUAACAUGCGAAGGAUCAACGUCAUAGAAUAUUGGCAAAACUAAUUGCCCUAGCGUUCUUCUACACUCCAUGAUCUUAACCAGCUCCUCGAGACACCAGCUGGAGUCCGAGUACCGUCUUGAGAAGACGAUGAUAGAGAUCCUAGAACCCUGGAUUGCAUGCACAAGUUCGGUAGUUAUAUCUUCUCCUCUUCUUAGUUCGUCGUCAAUAAAGGUGUUGAUUCCGGCCUUUGUCAAUGCUUCGUGGAGGUGGCCCACGAAGUUUUUACGUGUGUCUUCACCUCUGAAGCUUAUGAACACUUCGUAGAGCAAGCCUUUUGAGAAGGAAGACAUGGAUGGGGAGGUGGAGGCGGAUGAUGAGGAUGAGAUUGAGGGUGAGGAGGUGGAGGAGGACGAUGAGGAGGAGGUGGAGGAGGACGAUGAGGAUGAGGGCGAGGAGGAGGAUGAGGACGAGGUUUUAUCGGGGACGGAGAUAUUCAUUUAGCGAAAGACGAGGCCUAGGGAGUAGAGGAGGAAGAUGAGGACAUCAUAGACAAGAUCGGAAUUGCGAGCCGUAAAGUGGUUGGACACUAACACCAGCACCAAAGUUAACAGCUUCCCUAAGCUCGACCAGGUAUCCAUUUCCUUCAUUUUCUUUAUGCAAAUUGAAGGUUUUUGGCUAUAUUGAUUUUCUUUCUUCUGCAGGACUUCAUUGCAAGAGUUAAUUUGAAAGUACCCUAUUGCAAAAGGGAUCUGACUUCUCUGCCUUCCCACUUCCCAUACAUUCUGAUCCCCUCUUAUUUGUGCGGUCACGGUUAAGCCACGUCAACAUUUUAUAUUACUAUUGACUUUUGUCUUAUUAUCUUUAUAAAAAAAUUAAUAUAAAAUAUUAACGUGGCUUAACCGUGACCGCACAAAAUAAGAGGGGAUAGGAGUGUAUGGGAAGUGGGAGGAGAAAAGUCAGGUUCAUUACGGAAUCUCGGAUUAUGACGACCUCUACCAGUCUUCGUAUUCAAUUUUUUAUGACGACCUCUACCAGUCUUCCUAGUCAAUUUUUUAAUUCAACUUACAAGUUUGGUAGAGAGUGCCAAAUGCAUAUUUGCAGGGUUCUCACUUUCAGUAUGGCUAAAUAUCAAGGAAAAAUAUAUAUUUAUAGACAAUCUAUACUAUAUAUUAAGAAAACCCUCCUUGUCAAAAUUUUCCCCAUUUUUCCAAUUUUGCCCUCACUUUUGAUACACAACCUUGACAAAAAGGAGGGCAAAAUAGUAAUUUUGCAUCUUUUGAGAAAAUGACAAUCAUAUCCCUAUUUUCCCUAUUUUACCCUCACUUUUGAUACACAAUAUUUACAUAAAGAGGGCAAAAUGGUAAUUAUGUAAUAUUAAGAAAAAUAUGCCCUUAUUAGGAGAUCUCAUCAUCAUUGUCUCAUACUCUUUUUAAAAAAUUUAAAAACUAAUCACACUCCUUAAUCUAAAAUAAAAAAGAAAAUGAAAUUGUUCACACACAAAGUGUGUGCUCAUCUUCUAGUUUGGUAUAAAAUAAUCGAAGUUGUUAUGGAAAAUGGCAUCAAGGAUGUUAGAGCAUCCCCAAUGGGGGCUUUAUCCUCCAUGAGGCUACCACAUUUUUAGCCUUAGCGAGAAAUUUCAUCCUCAAUGAGCCAGAAAAUGGGGCUAGAUCCACCACUAGGGCUAGUAACUUCAUUUCUUGGGUAGCAUAAAAUCAGGCUACAUCUAGCCCCAAAAAACAGUGGGUCCCACAAAAAAAGUAGCAACCUAUGUGAGCAAAAUUCUAUCAUUCUCCCUCCACUUGCGAAUACACUCAUACUCUCAUUUUAUUAUUUUUUAAUUCUUUUUUCUUACUUACUUUGCUUGCAAUUUGACUAAUUAAUGAUUGUUUUAAAUUCUAUAAGAAUUAAAAUUUCAAAUUGAUUUAACGUUCAUGAGCAUUGAUGGGUGAAAUUUUCAAAUAUUUUUUUUCAAAAUUAUAUGAUACUAAUUUACCAAUUGGUGUUAGGUAAAAUUAUUGUAUUAUACGUGAAAAUCAAAUUAUUUCAGAAAACGAAGUGAGGGUUUAUUUCUUAUAAUAAAUGAGAUUGAGAUAAGGGAAUCUAAUCUAACAAACAAUUCAUAAGUGAUAAAAUCUAACUUUGUCACAAUUUGAACUUUGUAGGUGGAAGGGUUAAAUUUAAGAUAGCACGUCCAAAAAUCAACUUAAGAAAAGCUAACACAAAAAAAAAAAAAUUCAUUGCUUAAUCAAAUUACUACAUAAAUAAAUAUAUAUAGCCCAUAUAGAGCCCGAAAGAUAUAGCCCCUCAUUGUGAGAGAUUCUUUUAUACAACCCCAAAAAUUUCUUGGAACUAUAAAAUGGGUUGUAUCCAUCACUUUUCCAGCCCCAUAUAAAAUAUUAAAACCCCUCACUGGGGAUGCUCUUAGGAUUGGUAGUUUAAUAGUGGCCUUGUCUUUCAUCAUCGUUACCAUCCGUAGUAGUUGAAGAAUGACUCUGAUAUAUGUCCAACCACUUUGGAUUUAUAUGUCCAACCACUUUGGAUUUACUUGUGCUCUUACUUUAGAAUGUUGAAAAUUCAAACUGCAUCAAAACAACAGAUCAAUUGAUUUUAAAUGUUUAUUUUUUCACAAUUGAUGUUACUUAUUUUUAAGCUAAAUUAAGAGAAUAUAAGUAUUUUAAUUUAUAAUGAACUUAAGUCAAACAAAAACUAUCUAUUCACAAGGACAAUCCACCGCCUUACAUAUCAAACCUUGUACCAAACUCCUUCUAGACCACUCUUCCAUAUGCCCCCGGACCCACAGAAGUGUUUUAGGCUGAACUAGAAAAUGUGCCCGCGCUUCGCUGCGGGGGUUGAAUGCAUCUGUUGUGAGCUUGAAUAAUUUCCACAGAAAGUGGGCAAAAUGGUGGUAGGAACAUAAUCACAUUCUCAAAUGUAGCAAUUCAGUUACCAUAUAUUUGAGUUGAGUGAAUCCAACAAAAUCACCAAUCAACAUACGCAUCGUAUCAGUAAUCAAAAAUUGAAAAUUUAUCAAUUAUUUUCAAAUAUUCAAUAAAUUAAACCACACAAAAUUAAAAAAUAUAUGACGCGACCCUACAGCGACAACAAAUUGAUUUCUCCACUGCAGAGAGGUUGAUCACCAGAAGCAGGGUCAAUAAUGGCCAGCCUCUAAUGAGCAAAGAAACAAUCUCCAGGCUGGCAUAGGCCACUCCAAUUCAGGUCAACGGGGAUUCAAUCUAUCAAAUCCAUUCAUGCAGAUUGAUUACCUGAUUGGUAUUGAAAAGGAAACAAAACCCCCCCAAUUUUUUGAAAUUUAGAGUAGGAUGGAUCGCUUACCUUUAGCAAAGCGGAGGAACGUUGGUGGUGCGGAGGGACUGGUGGUCCAGCGCAAUUCGCUAGAUUUGAGAGCGAGAAAAGGCUCUCCACUGCAUUUUCCAUGCAUUCAAUCAUCAAAUUGUAGUUCGUUUCAAUUGAUUUCUGCUGAAAUUUAAAAAAUUAAUAAACAUUUCUAAAAAUAAAAGUAAACUUCAAGCUACAGACAGUUUGACUUGAAUGGCUUCAGCUGGAGCUAAGUAGGCUUACAGUGGGUGAAUCAAAGGGAUAAAGACACUGCAAUUUUCAGCUUCAUACCAAAGGAUAGACAAAGCACGACAGCAUGUUGCUAACUAAUUGUUCAAUCGAACUGAAAGGAAAAGUUGCAGGACAAAUAGCUCACUAAAGAAUCCCAUGUUGAGGACCUUUCCAGGCACGCUUUAUUCAACAGAGCUUUCAGGUUUUCAGUUUUCAGCUUAUCUUGAAAUUCAAUGCGUCGGGAAUCAGGGAUUUGCUGAGGCAGGUAAGAGUAACACAAGCAUCCAGUCAAUUCGAUUUGCUGAGGCAGUUGCAGUUGCAGGUAUGAGUAAAGUCAUGACAAAUUGUGAAUGGAGGAGAAAUACUAUUACCAUAAUCAACCAUAAUAUGUAAGUAGCCGAAUGUUUAGCCUGUGCUUGGUAGUCAUCGAAGCUAUUAUCUGGAAUGAUGGAGCAGGAGUCGAGGAGCUGUAACUCGUUAUUCAUAAAGAUUCUGAAGUCGUCAUUCAUGCUGUUAUUCUGCUUCGCAUGGCUGGACAGACCAGUAUGAUCAGUUAUGAAAUGCUUUAUCCAAAAUAAGAAAGGAAGCGGCGAUGAAGCCAUAGAGCCUGUUUACAGUGAAUACCACAGAAAUUAAAACUCGGGGGGUUCUCAGAUGAUUAGUGAAAUAUACAAAAACACCCCACGUACCUCUCUUCCUAUGUAGUGCUUUAUCAACAUUUCAUCCCAAUCAAGCUCUUCCUGACAUGACCACAUUUGACACAAGUAUCAACUGUAAACGUUCAUGUAACGAAGAUAGUACAAUAUAAAAAGUGCUUGCCCAUAGGAACUCAUGGUCAUAAUUACUGAAAAGAGAUUAAAGAAGAUUUGUACCUUCCACAGCCGAUAUAUCUCAACACUGUAACCAGAAGCUGAAAUCUCUUGUUUAUAGCAUUCGUCCUCUAAAUCUUACGCAUCAGCCGCUGCAAAAUGAUAGAAACAUUGAUUGUGAGGGGAAUUAAAGUCCAGCACAUCGACAACUUUGUCUCUCAGUAUCACAACAAAAGGAAAGCAAGGUCUCACACUGCGAUAAUGGGAGCAACUAUGAUCAGCAACAUGCAAGGAGGCCCAGGUUCGGGAUCUUUCUAAUUCAUGUAGCAACUGCAAGCACAAAUUUAUGGUGCAUAUAACUCAUCAUAAACACGGACGAGAGAGAAAAAUGGAUAUGUAUGGUACAAAUACGAAUCUCGGAAUAUGAAACUGCAUAAAAUCAACAAUUACUCUCAAACUAUCAGUCACAUUUGUUGAGAAUGAAGGCUAAAAAUAAUUCUCUGCUUAUCCUUUUCAAAUGUAUAGGAGUGCAAUUUGGCUCAGAAUUGUUUACAUCACAUAUAAAUAUGAAAUUCCUAGAAGGAAACCUGAAUUAUUCCCCGGAUAAGAAAAAUCGAGAUUAGAUCUAACCUGUUCUCUUGUCAUGUAGGAAACCAACCAGCAACGGUGGUUCCAUGCACGGUAAUUCAUUUUUGACCUCUGUAAAGAAAGAUUUUGAAUUACACAAAAGUGAACAAUGACAAGGAAAAUUCUCACAUAAGAAAAUUGUGGAACAUAUGAAAUGCCCAUACAGAAUAACAGUUGCUAUUGAAACCAUGGACACUGAUCCACAUCACGUUUGGAAAAGAGAGAGUGAAUUACAACUAUUAUCUGUACUAGUUUGAUACAGAUAUUUAGCAGCUCAGUAGGAAACCUUAUUUUGCAGACAAGAUGACUGCCAGAUGCACACAAUUAUAAAAGUGCACAAUGUGUUGGGGUGACGGAAGUCAUUUCUCAAGUCUUUUAUGCGGUGUGUGUGAGUUAUGUUGUUUUUCCCUACGAAAGCAAUAAUGAGACUGAACAAAAACAACAUAUAAGAUAAUUGAAUUAAAGUUUAAAUAAACCUUUGUAAAUUAAAAGCAUGCAGUUCCUGAACUGAAUUUAAACCUCAGCUAUUUUCUCCACCAGCUCAGAGUCUUUGGUCACAAUCUCCGACAGAGUUGAACACUUUCCAGCAAUCGACUUGAUGACCCACUGCCUGCAAUGAUCGAUAUGUUCUUAAAAUUCAAUUAUUAAAGUCAUUACAUGGGAAAACUAUAAUGAGGGACUCGAUUAAACCCUACCCGGCUGAGUACUUAUAAAUAAGAAAGUAUAGAAAUCAUGCCAGUUGUUAAGCAUAUAACGGAAAACUUCUGCUAAAAAUGCUACCUAUGGCUCCAAGCAUACUCAAACUUAGGUGAAUAUGAAAGAACAAGUGCUGACAAGAGAAGUUCAUCCAAAAAUGCUGAGUGCUUAUGCUUCUGCGACACAACAAGCUUCCUGCAUCACAUAUACUAGACCAAGUAGGUGUCAUGACAUAAAUUGAAAAGCAGACAAGAUCAAGAAGAUCCAAAAUUAUUGAUAUAUAAUUAUAGUAAAUAAUUGCACAUCAAAAACUCUAGAGGAAGAUAGAUGAAUCUCCAUGUCAGGAAACCAAAGAACAUGACGCUACAAAGGACCGUUGCUUCACAUGCAUAUCUGCUACUAUUUUAAAACAAUUAUGUUAGAACAAGUGUAAGAGAGAGGAAAAAGCACUACUGAACCGAAAAUGAAAAGGGGGAAAACCUGGAAUGCCAUGCAGUGCCGAAAUCACUACUUAGCAACAAAAGCGCCCUGCUAUGCUUCAUGACGUCACUUUCAAAACUAUUAUCCAAAGAUAAUGACACAUACAAAGACUUCUCAUCCCCAGAUACAUCUGAUCUGCUGUUAAGUGCCUUCUAUUGUCUACUUGCUGCCAUAAACGCAUGCUUAGAAGCUUCAUAUAACGGGAAAAAAAAUUGCGUUGAAAUCCCCAACUUAUGAUCCCCAUUCCAAAAAACUGAGUUGCCAUUAGCUGAGCGCAUCACAGUACUGCCAUCAGAUGAGGGUGAGAAAUGGACUGCCUCUUUAUUCAGCUUGGAAAAUUGGGACGGGUGAAGAAAUACCACUUCAUCUCUGGGUUCAAUCAAGAGGAAAGAACAAUAUAUAAGACGAUGGCAUUACUACAUAUUCCAAAAACGUAACUGAGAACCCUUCCAAAAUUAAAAAAGAGAACACCUCUACACAAAAUCAUAAUGCACCCACACACACACACACACACACACACACACAAUUCAAAAACUUUCAGCAUAAGAAUAAGGCAUACUUGGACCGAAAUCGAAAUUCCAGAUUCGGUAACAGUAAUGAACUAACACUGAAUCAACAUUUUGAAUUUGAACUAACACUGAAUGGACAUUUUCCAAAAAAUAUGAAAUCCCAAGUAAAAUCAAGCUGUUACUUUUACAUAUGCAUGGAUCAACUCAUUUGGGAUCAAAUAUCUGUACUUUUCGACACGGAAAUUACACUUUGUGUACACCAACCAAGCACGAAUAAAACCUAUAUAUACAAAACUCUAUGGGGCAUUUCAUCGAACACAAAGUCUGCAUCUUUACUGAAAACAGAGAAGCUAAACCUGAAAUCACUGAUUAUCUACUAACAUACUACUAACAUACAAGUCAGAAGAUCGACCGUGUCUGCUUCGGAACGACGCAGCUCCUCUCCUUCCAUAUUUUCUGUUUGUUUCCCGAGAAAAUCCAAGGGAAAGGAAAACCCGAGGGAAAAUGACAGCUUUAUACUAUGUUGGAACAAAAUGGUAAAUUAAUUAAAAAAAGAAGUACGUGGAAGUUUUUUAUUAGUUGUUGAAAUAAGUUGCAUGAUGCUGGCCGUAGAUGAUCCAGUUUCGGGCCAAUGUCACACUGACACGUAUACACCAUUCUUCGACUUUUAUUUUCUUGUAUAAAAUUUUGGAGCUGCUAUGGCUAUUCAGAAGAGAAUGCUUUGAAUAAUGAUAUAUUCUUCUCAAUAAGAGGAACUUAUAGGUGUACAACCCUAACAUAAAAGGAAAAAAAACUAAUAACAAGUGAUUACAUGGGAUUACAUAUCAAUUAGGGAUCCUACCUAAAAUACAAAAGUCAACACUCCCCCUCAAGUUGGUGCAUAUAUGUCGCUCAUGCCCAACUUGUGUAAGAAACUUGAAAACUUGUGACUCGAAACAGCUUUUGUGAGGAUAUCUGCCAACUGAUCUUCAGUUCUUAUCGCCGGUACUUCAAUUAUUUUCCCUUCCAAUUUUUCUUUGAUGAAGAAUCGAUCAACUUCAACAUGCUUUGUUCUAACAUGUUGUACUGGAUUAUCUGCAAUGUCACGAGCAGCUUUAUUAUCACAAAAUAAUUUCAUGGGCUGAUCAUGUUGUAUACCCAAAUCACUUAACAGAAGCUUAAGCCACAAAAUUUCACAAAUCCCCAAAGCCAUACCUCUGUAUUCUGCUUCUGCACUGGAACGGGCAACCACAUUCUAUUUCUUACUUCUCCAUGUAACCAAGUUACCCCCAACAAACGUAAAGUAACCUGAUGUUGAGCGUCUAUCAUCAAUAGAACCUGCCAGUCUGCAUCAGUAUAACCUUCAACACUAAAGUGAUUAUUCCUCUUAAACAAAAUUCCUUUGCCCGGACUUCCCUUCAAAUAUCGCAAUAUUCUCAUCACGGCAUUUAUAUGUUGUUCUCCAGGAUCAUGCAUGUAUUGACUCACUACACUCAAGGCAUAAGCAAGGUCCGGUCUUGUGUGUGCCAAAUACAUCAACCGGCCUACUAACCUUUGGUAUCUUCCUUUGUCAACUGGUACUUGAUUAGGAUCAACACUAAGCUUUAAUCCUUCUUCUAAUGGUGUAGCUAAUGGCUGACAAGCUGACAUGCCAGUUUCGUGCAACAAAUCAAUAAUAUACUUCCUUUGAGACAAGAAAAUUCCAGAACUGCUUCUCGACACCUCAAUCCCUAAAAAAUAUUUUAGGGAUCCAAGGUCCUUCAUUUCAAAUUCUGCAGACAGGUAUCUUUGCAAGGCCGCACGUUCUUCAGGAUCAUUACCUGUUACCACCAUAUCGUCUACAUACACAAUAAGUGCAGUAAGCUUCCCAUUCUGUCUUUUCAGGAACAAAGUAUGAUCAGAGUUACUUUGUCUGUAACCAAAUGCUCUCAUAGAUUUUGUGAAUCUUCCGAACCAUGCUCGAGGGGACUGCUUCAAGCCAUACAAGGAUUUCUUCAACCUGCACACUUUUCUUUUGUAUUUAUCUGGAGCAUUACAUCCCGGUGGAAGAUCCAUAUAAAUCUCUUCUGUCAAGUCUCCAUGCAAGAAGGCGUUCUUCACAUCGAACUGUUGUAAGGGCCAAUUAAGAUUUGCAGCCAAGGACAACAAAACACGAACUAUGUUGAUCUUGGCUACAGGUGCAAAUGUAUAUGUGUAGUAGAUUCCAUAUUUUUGAGUGUAUCAUUUGCUACCAGUCUUGCCUUGAAACGAUCCACCGUCCCAUCUGCUUUGUAUUUCACAGUAUAGACCCAUUUGCAUCCCACAGGUUUCUUGCCAGCUGGCAAAUCUGUGAUCUCCCAGGUAGCAUUCUUCUUCAAAGACUUCAACUCUUCAUUCAUUGCUACUUGCCAACGUGGAUCAGUUAAAGCCUCCUGCACACUGUUAGGAAUAGAUACAGUAGAUAAUUGAUGUACAAACGACUUAUUUGAUUCUGACAGGUGACUGGUAGACACAUAAUUACUUAACGGGUAUAACACAUUAGACUCAAGGUUGGGCUUACUCACCGGAUACCUAGUUUUGCAUUUAGGGUCGGCUUCAUAAGUAAGUUUAGGAAUACCUCGGUUGACGCGAUCAGGGAGAUGAUGUGGUGGUGGUGCAUCCGGGAUCGAAGACGAUUGAUUAUGGUUAUUGGGACUCAAGAUCGACUGUGAGGUAGCUGGCGACACAGGGCUGUCUGGUGAUGAGGAAACUGGCAGUGAGCUAUCAGGCAGUGAGUUAUCUGGCGAUGUCGACUCGUCCCUUUCAAGGUUUUCAACAUUGUUUCCAUGUGAAUGAUCACCACUUGUCUCCAAGACAUUACCACUUAAUUCCAAUUCAUUCACAUCAUUAUUUUCGUGUGAGUGAUCACCACUUAUUUCCAAGACAUCACCAUUUAAUUCCAAAUCAUUCACUCUAUCUAUAUCUGGAAUAGUAUAAUCAAGAGUUUGAACUUCUUUCUGAUUCUCCCCCUGAAGUGAAGACUCGGGAUUGGCAAAGUACAUAUCAUUAUCAUGAAACGCAACAUCCAUAGUGACAAACAACUUAUUCGUCGGUGGGUGAUAACAACGGUAUCCUUUCUGCCUUGAUGCAUACCCCACAAACACACAUCGUAAGGCUCGAGGUUCAAGCUUACAUCGAUGUUGUUUAUGAAGAUGAACGAAGGCCAAACAACCAAACACAUGAGGUGGAAAAUUAGGGACUGCAUGAGCAUCAACAUGUGAAGAAAUUGCCUGAAAAGGUGUAUGAAAAUCAACCGAUCGGGAUGGAACACGAUUAAUGAGAUACGCAGCUGAGGUGAGAGCUUCUCCCCAAUAGCAUAACGGGAGACGAGCCUCGAGUAAAAAAGCACGAACAACCUCCAGAAGCUGACGGUUCUUUCAUUCGGCAACCCCAUUUUGUUGUGGAGUAUAUGGACAUGUAGUUUGAUGAACAAUCCCAUGAUGAUCAAGAAAGGCACGAAGUUCAGAGUUAACAUAUUCGCCACCAUUAUCACUCCUGAGAACCUGUAUUUGUGACUUAUAUUGUACUUGUACCAUUUUGUAAAACUGUUGAAACAAAGAAGUAACUUCACCUUUGGAUUUCAUCAAACAAACCCAAGUCAUACGUGUGCAGUCAUCAAUAAAAAUAACAAACCAAUGAGCACCACCAAAUGUAGCAGUUUUAGAUGGACCCCAAACAUCAGAAUGAAUUAUCAUAAAUGGAACAUAACUUUUAUUCAAACUGGAUGGAAACGAGGCACGAUGACUUUUAGCUAGUUCACAAACACCACAUUUAAAGCUAGAAACAUCAUGCUUAACAAAUAGGCUAGGAAACAACCUCCGUAGAUAACCGAAAGAAGCAUGUCCAAGUCGACGAUGCCACAACCAAACCUCCGAAGCUUUAUUCCGAUCCCCUGAAUUUCCGUCCACUGCAAGAGCUUGAGUCAACAUUCGAGAACUGUUUGAUGUCAGCUCCAAGUAGUAGAGCUUCCCUUUCCUAAUACCAUAACCAAUCGUCUUGCGAGUCCGAAUGUCCUUAAAAACACAAAAAGAAGGCCAAAAAAUCAAAAGACAAUGCAGGACGACAGUUAUUUGAGCAACAGAUAAUAAAUUAUAGUCAAGAGAAGGCACAACAAGUACGGUAUCAAGACUAAGGGUAUCUGAAAGGGAGACGGUUCCUUCCCCGAUAACAGGGGCAUGAUUACCAUUGGCGACACUGACGACAGUUUUGGUGGAUGGUUUUAGGCUACAUGUCUAAAAUCACAAGUCAUAUGUUCAGUAGCACCGGAAUCAAUUAUCCAUGUAUUAUUCGUAACAGAUGCAGAAACCUUUAAAGUUUUACCAUCGUUGUUUGUAUGUUCAGAAGCUACCUUAGCUUUGGCAAUCAAUGCACACGACUCAUUACAGGGGGGAUGACGAGUCCAAUGUGUCAUUGCUCUACGUGAGUUGAGUGCAACGUCUGAGGUGAUUGAUAGGGCCAAGAUUCCAAACCAACUAGGUCAACAAUGUGAGAUCCCUGGAACAAAAACAAACAGUAACACAAAAAAGGACAACCUUUUUUCCUUUUUCUUUUUUUUUUUUUUUUUUUUUUUUUUUUUUCUUUUUUUUCCUUUUUUUUUUCUUUUUUUUUUUUUUUUUCUUUUUUUCCUUUUUUUUUGAAUUCCUUCAGAACACGCAAAGCAAAAUAAAUGCACGUGGGGAGUUCCUUCAAAACACACAAAUCAAAAAAUAAAUGCAGGGAUCAUAUCAAAUCAGUUUAGCAGAACACAGGUUGGGCUGCAGAUGGUAUGAUGAGUCAAAUGCGUAGACGCCAGGAAGAGACAGAUCGGUUUCUGGUGCAGAAGAAAUCGUGGUUGUCAACCGGGAUUUGCAACGACAAGGUUUCUAGAUUAGGAUCUCGGUUUGUGGGAGUGCGAUGCAGCAACAGAUGGUAGUGGGUGACUGCAGGGAUCGGCUCAGUGAACUCGGAUCAGCAACGACGGCGUCGCUCGCUGGUGUGACAGUGCACUGCACAACUGGUUGCGCAACUAGUGAACUCGGAUCAGCAACGACGGCGUCGCUCGCUGGUGUGACAGUGCGCUGCACAACAAGCUGUGCAACUGGUGGUUCUUAUUUCUGCGCACAACGAGACUUUUUUCUUUUUUUCUAACCUAGGCUCUGGUGCCAAGAAGAGAAUGCUUUGAAUAAUGAUAUAUUCUUCUCAAUAAGAGGAACUUAUAGGUGUACAACCCUAACAUAAAAGGAAAGAAAACUAAUUACAAGUGAUUACAUGGGAUUACAUAUCAAUUAGGAUCCUACCUAAAAUACAAAAGUCAACAUAUUCUCUCUCUACAUCUCUCUCUCUCUCUCUCUCUCUCUCUCUCUCUCUCUCUCUCUCUCUCUCUAGGGUUCCGUGAUCUGUAUAUGCGUCUCGAUGGCUAUGGAAAUUGUGGUGGAUGCGGCGUCGUUUGACGCCGAGCUGUUGCAGCUCAAUGAUUUGUCUCCUUUGGCCCUCAAAUCGAAUCCGAGCUACGUCGAGUCGCUGUUCGAGCAGUGGCUUUCGCUUCCCGAUACUAAUCGCCUGGUACUUGAAAACCCAAUUUUUUUGUCUUCAAAAUUUGAAAUUUUUGGUGUUUUCGCAUUGUUUUGGUUGUGCAUCUUGUUGGGUUUCGAAGGAUUUAUGGGUGCAGUUUUUGGUUUUUGAAUUUUGGUGAGCUUGGUUUUUUGCUGUUGAAUUAAAAAUUUCUGUGUUUUUUCAUGUGUGUAUGUUUUGAGAUACACAUAAUUUGCAUGGAUUUGUAUAUGUGUUUGUUCUAGCCUGUGAAACCAGCAUGAGAGCUAAGAAAUAAUGAUGCUGAGUUGAUUUUAGUAUAUAUUGAUUUUCGUGCCCAUGGUAUUGAAUUUGUUCGGAAACGAUGACUUUGCGAUUAAUGAAGCAUUAAAGGGCACAUUUCAGUAUGGAAAAAGGGAUGAAAAUUGUAAAUUGUUAGCAAUGUUCGAAAUUACCUAAUGCCUUAAAGUAGUUACAAAUUUGUAAUUAGUUGUUGGAAAUGCUAAAGUUUAUAUUUUUUUUAAUUAGGAUACUGGAUACCUAUGAUUUACAUACUACAUAAUCUUUCAUCUUUUCUGAUGCAUGACAGUUUUUUCAUUUUCCCGACUCUAUGGUUGCAGGUGACACAAACUGCUAACUGAAGCAAAGGCAGGUAGGCCUCUGAAUGUUCAGGGAAAUUCUUCUAGUCCACAUGCCACUGCAGGCAGUACUUUGCCUUCUAUGUUUCCAACCAAAGUGGGACAAAGGGAAGGCCCCACAGUCCCGGAAAGAGACUCCACCUCUUCCAUCCUCUCGGGUGCGUUCAUCAGCCAGAUCUGAUGACAGGGCAGCUUUCAAGGAUGAUGCAUUGAAUGAGUUACGAGCAAAACGUUUGAAGCUGCAUGACCCUGAGGCUCACCGCAAGUUGAGAUAUGCUUCUCGUAGUGAAGAUGAUGGAUCAUCAGGGGAUGAUGCAAUGAUUGACAGUGAUGAUGAAAGGUCACAGGGACUAACUUUUGAUGUUAUAAAGGAGAUUACCAUUCGAAGGUCGAAACUUGCAAGUGGUUUAUGGAGCCCUUCUUGGAAGAGUUAAUUGUGGUUUGCGUUGUAAGGGUUGGAAUUGGGAGGUCAAAGUCUGGGACUAUCAAUGGUGGGAGCAGUACGGGCAGGCAUAGCAGCAACUGCAGCAGCUUUGGAAGCUGCGGCUGGUGUAGGGAAGUUGAUUGAUACGAGUGCCCCUGUUGAUUUUGGAAGAGAGUCAAAUCUAAAGCAUAAUUUUGAGCUGCCAAUAUCAUUGGCUGCUCUUCAGAAGUUUGGAAAGCCACAGGGUUCUUGGCAAGAAAGCAGCGAAUAGAAGCAAUAGUUGAGUGCCAAGUCCCAGAGAAUAAUGGGAGGAGGCAUGCGCUGAUGCUUACAGUUGGCGACUACAUGAGAAGAAGAGGGAUUCUCUGAACAUAUUAAAAACCACCACAGAAACAAGAAAGUUCAAAAAGAGAGAACAUAUUAAAAACAGAUCAAGGCAUGCAAAAAAAUACAGACUCUAUCUGCAAACUAGCUGAUUAAGCCAGAAAGUUUCCUAGCUUACAACUAUGUUUGGUUGACACAGUUUUGUUGGUAUGAACUCCAAUGGGAAUCCAUGCCAGCACAACCAUCUUAAUUUUUUGGAAAGACAUUGGUAUCACCCAGUGAGUCGUACGUAGUUUAGUUGGAGCAAUCUCAGUCUCUUCAUAUUUUUAAACGCCUUGGUACUGAAACUAGUGUUUUCAAGACUCGGCAAAUUCAAAGCCAGACCUUCAAUUUUUUCAGUUCCCUGCUAUCCGAAAAAAACAGACUCCAAAUAAGAGAAGGCUUUGCAUGAAAAAAAGUUAGAUUACUAACUUACAUAUGCUUACACGUUUAACAUAAAGUUGAUUGGGAAAGUACUUACAAAUUUGUCUAUCAAUACAUCAUUUACAUCUUCAGGACGCCACAAUCUACUCCGUUCUCUAGGGAAAUCGGGAUUUUCUGCAUGCACGAUAUCUCUGCCCAUAUACCGAAGCAAAUCAUGCAUCAUAAUCUUGUUUUCUCUAUUAAUAGUUACAAGGCACCGGUCAAGGAGGACCUUGAUUCCUGUUGUUGCAUAAAAGCCACAACCAUCCAAGAUUUGUAUGACAUCGUUCUUGUCCAUUCCGAUAAAAAAACAAGCUAUAUCGAGGAAUAUUCGCCUCUUGUAAUUAUCAUUUAGCUCGUUGUAGCUUAUUUUCAGUUGUGCCUGAAUUUCUCCACGAGGAAUUAUUUUCAAUUCAUCCAAUAUACUUCUCCAUUCAUCUACGCUUCGUUUGAAAAGAGUAGAUCCUAAAACUUCAAGAGCCAGCGACAAUCCUCCACAGUAAUUAACAACUUCUCUUUCGAGUGCAAGAUAUUGACUAGGACAACUACUACUUCUGAAAGCAUGCCAACUUAGGAGCUCAAGAGCUUCUUCUCGGUCCAUUACUUUCGCCCGAUAUAUCUUUUGAAUUGCAAAUUCUUUUAGCACACUUUCAUUUUUAGUUGUGAUGAUGAUUCUGCUCCCCGGGCCAAAAAGUGGCAAUUUCCAACUAAUUCACGUAAUUGCUUCACAUCGUCUACAUCAUCAACUAUGACAAGUACCUUUAAGCGUCGAAAUCUUUCCCUUACCAAGGCGGUCCCUGCAGCAACACUGCUUACCUUUGUCUUGGUUUGCAAGAUAUCAAAAAGAAGUUGUUUUUGCAAUUUUUCUAGCUUCUUUUCCCUCACUUUUUCAAGGAAACUUUUACCUUCAAAUCUUUCAUAAAAUUCGUUAUAAAUGGCUUUAGCAAUCGUUGUUUUACCUAUUCCACCCAUGCCCGAAAUUCCAAUCACACGAACAUCAUCUGAAUCUCCGAUGCCUAAAUAAUUACUAAUAUCUAGCACUCGAGUAUCUAUUCCGACUUGAUAGGGCGCUACGUCGAAGUAUUUGUUGUUCAACUUAGUAGUGACGUCAUUGGUAAUCAUCCUGAUAAACUUUGCUUCAUGCCUGGCAUUAGUCAAGUUGAGAAGCAAAACGAAGAUUGUUAUACAACGAAAUUGAACUAAUUAAUACACAAAAUUAUUUAUCAUGACUAGAGAUUUUAAUUAAGACAAUUUUUUUGAGGUGGUGUGUUUAAACUUAGCAAACAUCAAUUAAAAUUAAAAUAAGAAACACAAACAAAAAACCCAGCAUCCCUUCCGUCCGCAGCCAGUCGCCGGCAGCUUCCCAACUGUGAUUAGUGUAGCCUUAACAGUUUAAGCUUUAUUGUAUGAUUUUAUUACAGAGGUCUAAGAAAUCGCAUGAUUCCAAAUUAAUAAGCAAAGGUACAUUAAAGCCUUAAUUCAUAAGAAAAUAAAUUAGUAAGUACCCGUCGAAAGUGUUUCUGAGAUCCCAGCCAGGCAAAUUCGAAGCUUCAGUAAGAGCAGCUCUCCACCUCUCUACCUUUUUUCAUCUGUAUGUUUCAGAAACGAUUGUGCAAAACUACUAGUCUGUUUCCUGACAUGCGAAGGAUCAACGUCAUAGAAUAUCGGCAAAACUAAUUGCCCUAGCAUUCUUCUACACUCCAUGAUCUUUACCAGCUCCUCGAGACACCAGCUGGAGUCCGAGUACCGUCUUGAGAAGACGAUGAUAGAGAUCCUAGAACCCUGGAUUGCCUGCACAAGUUCGGUAGUUAUAUCUUCUCCUCUUCUUAGUUCGUCGUCAAUAAAGGCGUUGAUUCCGGCCUUUGUCAAUGCUUCGUGGAGGUGGCCCGUGAAGUUUUUACGUGUGUCUUCACCUCUGAAGCUUAUGAACACUUCGUAGAGCGAACCUUUUGAGAAGGAGGACAAGGACGGGGAGGCGGAGGAGGACGAUGAGGAUGAGAUUGAGGGUGAGGAGGUGGAGGAGGACGAUAAGGAUGAGGGCGAGGACGAGGUUUUAUCGGGGACGGAGAUAUUCAUUUGGCGAAAGACGAGGCCGAGGGAGCAGAGGAGGAAGAUGAGGACAUCAAAAACAAGACCGGAAUUGCGAUGUGCAUAGUGGUAGGACAGUAACACCAGCACCAUAAUUAACAGCUUCCCUAAGCUCAACCAGUUAUCCAUUGCCUUCAAUUUCUUUAGGCAAAUUGAAGGUUUUUUGGCGAUAUUGAUUUUCAUUUUUUCUACCGGAACUACUUUCUUCUUCUUAUAAUUAAUCAACCCGCCUAGGCGGCGCAGUUGACUGUAGACUUGAGUAUUGGUAAAUUGACUUAUGGUCCUACACCCUAAAUUCUACGAGGUGCUCUUUUUCUUCCACUAUAAAGCCAAAUUAGACACGGUAAAUUGACUUGUGGUCCUACACCCUAAAUUCCAGGAGGCACCCUUUUUUUCCACCUUAUCGCCAAAUUCUACGCAGUGUUUUCUGGUUCACACAAUGAUGAGAUACUUUUCAGUUUAUAGGAACACAGUCCAGUACACUGUACACCACUUAUAAAACAACUUCAAGAGGGCUAGUUUGAAAAUAUCCUACCGCGAAAUUUGAUUUGGUUUGGACCAAAUUUUGAUUUAGAUGAAAACUAGUAACAGUGCCUGCGCGUUGCUGCGGAUGUUUAAAAUGUUUUGAUAAUAUAUAAAUAUAGAAAACAUAAUUUAUUAAAGCUAGAUUUCUAUACCUAAGAUAAAGGUUGACAGUUUUCAUAAUUAUCAAAAGUUGGCAGUGUCCAAUUGCUCACUGUUCAAAAGAUAGAGAUGCUAUAAAAGCUUAUUUCAUCUACAUAAGUUCAUAGUAUCAUGUACUCAAAAUAAUCAUAGUAUCAAAAGAUUGGCAGUUUUCAACUGCUCAUCGUUCAAAUACGAAAAUAUACAUAUGUCCAUAUCAAAAGGUUGGCUCCGCACAUCUGCUGUGUUUAUGAUUUUUCCUGUUCAAUCUCUGGUCUUGCUUGUUUGGGAAUGGCCACCCUUUUUCUUGGCCACCAUGCUGUUGAAUUGGUGCCUAUUCUUUUUUGCUUUGCCCAUUAUUUUUCUCUUGAUAUAUAUUACGAAUUGGAAUCAGUAAGAAUUCCAUAUAAAAAACUAAAUUUGUCAAUCUAUUUAACUUAGUGCGAACUUCGUCAAACAACCAAGUAUAAUCCAGCAAGGUUAUUUUCUCUUUUUUUUUUUUUGAUCAAAAUGAAUUCUACUGUUCCCAUCUAUUUGCACAUCCCUUUAAAUUAUCGAAAACACAAAAGAAAUAUAUCUUGAUCCAUACCAAUUAAUGAUUUCCCAUUUACUCAAGUCAAACGUCAAAGCCAAUGAAUUGAUGAAGGAGCUAAAAAAGAGGGACAAAAAAAAAUCUCUAUUAUUCAAUUAUAUGGAGAUUUACCUGAUUGUACAAAAGGUUUGAAAAUUACCGUAAAAUUUGAAAAGAGAGAUGAGAUGGAGUGGAAAUCACAUACCAGCAUCAGGCUUAAAUUUGUAGUGCUCAUCUGAGAGAGCAGUGAUAGUGUUGAUGAGAGUGUAGGGAGAGAAACAAAAUGCAAAUCGUACGAGUUUGAGAGAAACUGCUUGAGGGACACUGCAGAUUGAUCGUUGAGAUUUGAGAAACCGAGGAAGCUGCAAUUUGAGACGAACUACUUUGCAUCAAACGUGGGGGAGUUUCUCUCCUCCACGUUUGAAUAGAAGAGGUAGUUUCAGAGUUGUCUGCAAUUAGUCCUAUCAGGAGCUUCUGCACUGGUUGAUGUCUCGGUCUUUUCCUUAGUCGCAUGUGCAUUGUAGACUUGGGUAGAUGAAAAGUAGAAAGGAAAUAAAAAUAUAAAGUCAAAGUUACCACUUAACUAUCUAUGUUGAUUCAUGUCCCACGCAUAAUAAGAAUAGUGAAUCAUUUUUCAUCUCGUGCACUGGUUUGUCAUUGUCAUUCGAAUUCACAAAUCCAUUUACUCCGAAUUUCUUAGUUAUCACCAGGGAAAGAAUGUAAUAAGCAAAAAUCUAUUUCUAGGUUGUCCCACUAAACUACCUGUUAAACCAUGGUAAAUCAAAACGGGAAAAAAAUUAUAAUACCUUUGUCAAACCUCUUGGGAUUCAAGUCCACCGACUCCACCCCAAUACUCAGUGGCGCCCCAGAAAUCUUGCACGUUCAGUAGCCAAGAUCAUGCAUGUAUCAGUAUGAAUAUGGAAGAGAAAAUAAAUGCAAUUUAUUAGAAUAAAGAAUAUGGGAUCAACAAAGUUUGUCCAAACUUACAGUGAGGCUAAUAAACAACAACUAAAGAUAAUUUUUCGUUUUGCUACAUGAGAGGGGCAUCCAAAAAUCCAAACCUGUCGAUACGGCACAACUGAGGAUGCAAACUUUAUCCAACUAAGCAAGGGGCUUGAUCUUGGAAAGACGGCCAGAAUGAACAACAAUGUAUUCACUUUAGUAAAAGUGCCAAGACAGUGAUUGGUGAACGUUAUUUCCCAGCUGGGUUAGUUUGGCUAUUCCUUUCUAUUGAAAAGGAGUCAGUUGUGCAUGAGUCACCACAUUUUGCUUCAUGGCGAAAAAUUUGAGGGAUCAAUAGUGUAUGGCCCUGAAUCCCAAAAGGAAAAAAUAACUCAACUAAGUAUAUAUAAUAUUAAACAUAUAAAGGGUAAGAUCAACCACAUCCCAUAGGAGAACAAUUAAACGCCACUCUCUCAGUUUCGAGUACAACUGCACUUUGUGAUUAAAAUUCACACAUGUUUCACAUAUGCUAAGAAGUAAUGUUCCUGUAGGUUUUUCAUCAUGAACGACAUUUGCAAUCUACUUUUCGAUUUCAAACCUUAAUUAUUCAUUGCCCAUUAAGAAAUGACUAUAUUGCCCGGAAACUCUACUCAUAGUUUAUAAAUCUGCAAUUUUCAAAGCUUAACCUUAAACAUUUAUCAUGCUGAAAAAAAUACUUAAGCAUCUUAAUUGGAUUCCCUACAAUUUGGUGGAGGUUGAAUGGAUUUUU